Molecule: long non-coding RNA, 476 nt
Organism: Larimichthys crocea (large yellow croaker)
Lineage: Eukaryota; Metazoa; Chordata; Actinopteri; Sciaenidae
Exons: 3
Source: RefSeq, a predicted model, not a curated record
CUGUGAACUCGGAGCACCGGGGGAAGUGUUAAGUGUUUGCACCACAGGUGUGUUGGACCACCUGGAUGAAGAAGAGGAGGCUUACGGGCCCGGAGAGCGGAGCCGGUGUCGUGUUAGAACCGGAGCCGGGCGAUUAGGCAAUGUAACCGUGCAUGGAUUUAAAAUCAGAAGCGAAAAGACUGAAGAGGACAGAAAGACAGAAAGACAGACCUGGACUUCUUGCUGUUGGACUAGACAGCAGGAAGACAGAGAUAGAGAAGGGGGAGGACGACACGCAACAAUGAACCACAGGCUACCCGGGUCGAAGUCACCACGGCGGCCCGACUGUGUGAUCUCUUUAAACGCUCCGGAACGAAAGAGCUGGUAAUGACCGGAAGUCCCAGUUGAUUGUCGUUCGGGGUGCUUUGACGUUUGGAGACGCGCGAGCGCUUUCUGGAACCGUCACACACACACACACACACACACACACACACACA